RNAcentral lists this small nucleolar RNA (135 nucleotides) under Mus pahari (shrew mouse). RNAcentral describes it as "predicted gene, 23903 (MGP_PahariEiJ_G0034087.1)". It matches the Rfam family "Small nucleolar RNA SNORA17". From Rfam's summary of the family: snoRNA ACA 17 belongs to the H/ACA family of snoRNAs and is predicted to guide pseudouridylation of the 28S rRNA at positions U4659 and U4598. It shares the same host gene together with ACA43. NB This family has a high threshold value to exclude a large number of closely related sequences that do not appear to have conserved H and ACA boxes, and may be pseudogenes. Lineage: Eukaryota; Metazoa; Chordata; Mammalia; Rodentia; Muridae. The record is from RNAcentral.
ACCGGCAAGUAGCACGAAGUGUGGCUGCCGCCGUGUCACAGGUGCAUCCCUAGGUGGCAGAGAGGGCUGAGAGAGGCUGUGUUUACACUCAGUGUUCUGACCUAGGAACAUCUGAAUGAUUAGCAACUUAAAAUU